This 253-nucleotide ribosomal RNA is filed under the name uncultured bacterium. Its description in RNAcentral is "partial 16S ribosomal RNA". It matches the Rfam family "Bacterial small subunit ribosomal RNA", at positions 524 to 776 of the family's 1533-position model. The record is from RNAcentral.
UACGUAGGGGGCAAGCGUUGUCCGGAUUUAUUGGGCGUAAAGCGCGUGUAGGCGGCCAGAUAGGUCUGCUGUGAAAACUCGAGGCUCAACCUCGAGCUGUCGGCGGAAACCAUAUGGCUAGAGUCCGGAAGAGGAGAGUGGAAUUCCUGGUGUAGCGGUGAAAUGCGCAGAUAUCAGGAAGAACACCUAUGGCGAAGGCAGCUCUCUGGGACGGUACUGACGCUGAGACGCGAAAGCGUGGGGAGCGAACAGG